AGUACCAGCUAAAUCACCCUCCAAGCCAAAACCGGUAAUUCACUAAAGCUAAGCAGGGUUGUGCCUGGUCAUUACCUGGAUGGGAGACCACAUGGGAAAACUAGGUUGCUGUUGGAA
Ribosomal RNA from Danio rerio (zebrafish), 117 nucleotides. Lineage: Eukaryota; Metazoa; Chordata; Actinopteri; Cypriniformes; Danionidae. The record is from Ensembl.